Non-coding RNA from Haemonchus placei, 75 nucleotides. The record is from Rfam. NCBI's taxonomy places the organism in Eukaryota, Metazoa, Nematoda, Chromadorea, Rhabditida, Trichostrongylidae.
GACCCAAAUUUUGAGUAGAGCAGAUUAGAAGGAUCAUAUGACCCUACUAAACUACUCUACUCCGAGUUUGUGCCC